Molecule: long non-coding RNA, 955 nt
Organism: Drosophila gunungcola (fruit fly)
Lineage: Eukaryota; Metazoa; Arthropoda; Insecta; Diptera; Drosophilidae
Exons: 4
Source: RefSeq, a predicted model, not a curated record
AUCGAGUGCAGUUCAAUUUAAUUUUGCAUCGAGUUGAAGUGACGGGCAGAAUUUCCGGAUUAGCUUAAAUAUAGCGCUAAAUCCUGUUUAUGGGUUUGGCGCUCUGUGUCAGAUAUUGGAUCCGGUCUUUGCUUUGUAGAGGGAAUAAUACCUCAAGAUACCCAAAGGAGAGCGAAUUCAUCCUACAGAAGGGAAAUUAUCGUCACCCAAAGGGAUCUCAAAAGCCUAAAAGUCACUCAAGUUUUAUUUAUUUAAUAAAAAAAAAAGGAAAAGUGUCAAAGAGAGCUCAAGUUUCAACACCUUCCCAAAUUACACCUAUAUUGCAUUUAUUCGUCAUCUUCAUUAUCUUCGUUAUCUCCCACAAGCGAGCGUGAAUUGCCGAAGCUCAGCUUGGCAGGCAGUUUUUCGGCGCGCUGACGUAGGCAAGACGCUUCGGUCCACGAUCGGUCUAAUUUAAUUCAACUCGGCAUAACAAUAUAAAAUAAUAGUUUUAAGUUAGUACCGCUAGAAAUGUAAAGAAAUAAGUAAAAAACGGAUAAUUUACAUAUAUGUAAGUUCAUUUAUAAUUUUUUUUUGUCUAGGUUAAGUGAAAUGAGCAUGUGAGUGUAAUAGAAAAAAAGGGAAAGAGGAAAAUGUGGUGAUAGUUAAAAGGCCAGGCUUUUGUGAGAGGCUAAAGGCUUAGGCCUUUUAAUUUUGUUUGGUGGUUAAAUGAAAAAGAAUGUGUUAAAAGAAGCCUAAAGGAAAAAGUGAGAGAAAUGGCUGUUGGUUUUGCACAGUGGGCUUUUAGUGUAUAUGUAUAUGGAUAUACAUAUGGAUCUCCCGAAUAGUGUCCAUAAAGGAAAAAGAAAAGAGAGCGAUAUUAUCAUCUCUCUCGACUCUCGAAUUUAUGAGUGAGACAAAUUUUGAAAGAAGGAAAACCACUCUAUUUGAUUUCGCCGAAAGCUCAUCACUGCAA